Molecule: ribosomal RNA, 459 nt
Filed under: uncultured bacterium
Lineage: Bacteria
Description: partial 16S ribosomal RNA
Rfam family: Bacterial small subunit ribosomal RNA
Source: RNAcentral
CCUACGGGCGGCAGCAGUGAGGAAUAUUGGUCAAUGGGCGCGAGCCUGAACCAGCCAAGUCGCGUGAGGGAAGACGGUCCUAUGGAUUGUAAACCUCUUUUGUCGGGGAGCAAAAGACGCCACGCGUGGCGUUCCGAGAGUACCCGAAGAAAAAGCAUCGGCUAACUCCGUGCCAGCAGCCGCGGUAAUACGGAGGAUGCGAGCGUUAUCCGGAUUUAUUGGGUUUAAAGGGUGCGCAGGGGGAAGAUCAAGUCAGCGGUAAAAUUGAGAGGCACAACCUCUUCGAGCCGUUGAAACUGGUUGUCUUGAGUGAGCGAGAGGUAUGCGGAAUGCGUGGUGUAGCGGUGAAAUGCAUAGAUAUCACGCAGAACUCCGAUUGCGAAGGCAGCAUACCGGCGCUCAACUGACGCUGAUGCACGAAAGUGUGGGUAUCGAACAGGAUUAGAUACCCUAGUAGUC